GCCAUGCUUCCACUAAAGACUUGGAUAAUUCUUAUAUGACUACAUUAAAGGUCUUAGUAUGACUAAAACUUGAAAUAUGGUGUAUGACACCAUGUAAUUUAAAUGAAUAGACUUAAUGGAACAAGUCACACAUUUCAAAUGGAAUUACUUGAGAAGGAAUUCUUUUGUGUGAUUCAUUUAAGUUAGUGGGAGCAAUAUGCAUUCAAAUCAAGAAAAUAUAAUUGUUAUUUUUGAAUGAAUUCUAAGUUACAACAAGGCCAGUGGUAGUGAUGUCAUAAUUUGAGCAACAAGAUGUGAAUAAAGUCUAUUCGAUAGACUUGAUAAAACAUAGAGGUUACUCGAAAAAUGACAAAACAUGACACGGUCAAUUUUGAAGUAU
Molecule: long non-coding RNA, 379 nt
Filed under: Malus domestica (apple)
Lineage: Eukaryota; Viridiplantae; Streptophyta; Magnoliopsida; Rosales; Rosaceae
Description: long non-coding RNA (MDOM_LNC018643)
Source: RNAcentral